RNAcentral lists this long non-coding RNA (250 nucleotides) under Bos indicus x Bos taurus (hybrid cattle). RNAcentral describes it as "lncRNA (ENSBIXG00000029728.1)". Lineage: Eukaryota; Metazoa; Chordata; Mammalia; Artiodactyla; Bovidae. The record is from RNAcentral.
AUGCAUUUUUUUAAAGAUUCUGGCCUGGAAGCUGAUCUCCAGCAAUUGGCUCUGGCAAAGACUGGGGGUGAAGGUGGAGAUGGUCCCGAUGUCAGGGAGGAGUUUGCAUCAAAUACAGAGCCUGGUGAAAUGCCAGAAGCAGGUGAAGGGCAAGCCAUUUGCUUGAAAGAAGAUAAACCAUCUAUGCUGUUCUUAUAUUGUGUAUUUGACUAUUAAAGUUCGGUCAAUAAAGUUUUGUUUUCUACUUGCA